AGGCUCACUCUAAAUUACGAGGGGCACUUUUGAGUGGAGUCCAAAACUGGUCAGUGUGCCUAAAACUGAGUCAGGUCGUGGUUGCAUCACAGUAAACAUUUACAGUGGUGAUGAUGAGACCCAUAAUAUUU
Molecule: small nucleolar RNA, 131 nt
Organism: Cavia aperea (Brazilian guinea pig)
Lineage: Eukaryota; Metazoa; Chordata; Mammalia; Rodentia; Caviidae
Source: Ensembl